CCUACGGGAGGCAGCAGUGGGGAAUAUUGGACAAUGGGCGAAAGCCUGAUCCAGCCAUGCCGCGUGUGUGAAGAAGGUCUUCGGAUUGUAAAGCACUUUAAGUUGGGAGGAAGGGCAGUAAGUUAAUACCUUGCUGUUUUGACGUUACCAACAGAAUAAGCACCGGCUAACUUCGUGCCAGCAGCCGCGGUAAU
RNAcentral lists this ribosomal RNA (194 nucleotides) under uncultured bacterium. Its description in RNAcentral is "partial 16S ribosomal RNA". It matches the Rfam family "Bacterial small subunit ribosomal RNA", at positions 338 to 524 of the family's 1533-position model. RNAcentral also lists the same sequence under 2 other names. The record is from RNAcentral.